Molecule: ribosomal RNA, 497 nt
Filed under: uncultured bacterium
Lineage: Bacteria
Description: partial 16S ribosomal RNA
Rfam family: Bacterial small subunit ribosomal RNA
Source: RNAcentral
GAUGAACGCUGGCGGCGUGCCUAAUACAUGCAAGUCGAGCGAACAGACGAGGAGCUUGCUCCUCUGACGUUAGCGGCGGACGGGUGAGUAACACGUGGAUAACCUACCUAUAAGACUGGGAUAACUUCGGGAAACCGGAGCUAAUACCGGAUAAUAUAUUGAACCGCAUGGUUCAAUAGUGAAAGACGGUUUUGCUGUCACUUAUAGAUGGAUCCGCGCCGCAUUAGCUAGUUGGUAAGGUAACGGCUUACCAAGGCGACGAUGCGUAGCCGACCUGAGAGGGUGAUCGGCCACACUGGAACUGAGACACGGUCCAGACUCCUACGGGAGGCAGCAGUAGGGAAUCUGCCGCAAUGGGCGAAAGCCUGACGGAGCAACGCCGCGUGAGUGAUGAAGGUCUUCGGAUCGUAAAACUCUGUUAUUAGGGAAGAACAAAUGUGUAAGUAACUAUGCACGUCUUGACGGUACCUAAACAGAAAGCCACGGCUAACUACGUG